GCGAACGCUGGCGGCAGGCUUAACACAUGCAAGUCGCGCGGGCAUCCUUGUGGUGUCAGCGGCAGACGGGUGAGUAACGCGUGGGAACGUGCCCUUCGGUUCGGAAUAACUCAGGGAAACUUGAGCUAAUACCGGAUACGUGCGAGAGCAGAAAGGUUUAUCUGCCGAAGGAUCGGCCCGCGUCUGAUUAGCUAGUUGGUGAGGUUAUGGCUCACCAAGGCGACGAUCAGUAGCUGGUCUGAGAGGAUGAUCAGCCACACUGGGACUGAGACACGGCCCAGACUCCUACGGGAGGCAGCAGUGGGGAAUAUUGGACAAUGGGGGCAACCCUGAUCCAGCCAUGCCGCGUGAGUGAUGACGGCCUUAGGGUUGUAAAGCUCUUUUCUCCGGGACGAUAAUGACGGUACCGGAGGAAUAAGCCCCGGCUAACUUCGUG
Molecule: ribosomal RNA, 436 nt
Filed under: uncultured bacterium
Lineage: Bacteria
Description: partial 16S ribosomal RNA
Rfam family: Bacterial small subunit ribosomal RNA
Source: RNAcentral